Molecule: unclassified non-coding RNA, 376 nt
Filed under: uncultured bacterium
Lineage: Bacteria
Description: contains 16S-23S intergenic spacer region
Source: RNAcentral
UCCGGUUUGACACCGGCAGUCUCCCUAGAGUGCCCGGCAUAACCCGCUGGUAACUAGGGACGAGGGUUGCGCUCGUUGCGGGACUUAACCCAACAUCUCACGACGCGAGCUGACGACAGCCAUGCAGCACCUGUGCAUGGACUCCGAAGAGGAACCAAUGUUUCCACCGGCUUUCCCAUGUCAAGCCCAGGUAAGGUUCUUCGCGUUGCUUCGAAUUAAACCACGUGCUCCACCGCUUGUGCGGGUCCCCGUCAAUUCCUUUGAGUUUCAGUCUUGCGACCGUACUCCCCAGGCGGGAUGCUAAAAGCGUUAGCGACGGCACCCGGAGACUAAAUACUCCAGACACCAAGCAUCCAUCGUUUAAGGCUAGGACUAC